CGGCCCGCUUCCCUGGUUUUUGCCCGCCUUCGCCUCUCCAGGCCCGGCGGGCGCUCUGGACGCCUACCAGGCCGAACUCCGGGGCCCUGGCGCCUGGCCAGGUCGUGCAGCUGGGCCUGGGCUUUAAUCUAGCGCCCUAAGGGCCCUGGGCGCGUGAGAACUUUUGCCCCCGUCCCUCCUUUUCCCUCCCACCGGACUGCACGAGCCCUCCCUUCCCAGCGGCUCCCAGGAGCAGCGCCAACCCUGCAGUGGUCCUUGCUCAAGUGGCCUUAGCAAGAACUCGGCUCCAAGAGAAGGAACUUCCAAGUGACAGCCUUGGGAGGCCAAGGGCUACUUGGCUGAUGAGAACAGCUCUGGGGCAGCGGCGCUGGGCCCUCGGAAGACCCCUCCCCCAAUCCUUUCCUUUCCAGAACCAGCUUUUCCAGCUCGGCAGCAGCAUAGUCAGGUUUCAGGCGGGUGUGGAUUGUUUUCAACCCCUGGGGCUUGGGUGGGAAGCGUAAAGACGGGGAAGCUGGUUGCCCACAUAGUUAGUGUUCAGCAGCCCCCCUCUUUGGAGGCACCCCAGGGACCCUCACAGCUGAAGUAAACACAGAAACCAAGCCCCAUCUUAACAAACAAAAAAAAGCACUUGAUGCUGGGGCACUCAAGUGAGGGUUUCCGGACGGAUCCCAGGGAGAAGCUAUGAACUAGUACUGCAAGGGUUGGCUGGUGCUCUUGGUGGGCGGCAAACAGCACGAAAGGGUCUUGGGACAGAGAAGGGCGUGGCUUCUUCCCGGGGUGAGCAAACUGGUGGGAGAGUUGCGAGACGCAUCUCAGACUUUGUUUUAGCUGGGGAGGUCCCCGACUCUGUCCCACAGGGUGACCCCCACCUGCAGAGAGAAACACCUGAUCCCAGCGCCCUCAGAGCUCACGGCCAGACGGGAGACAGAGGGGUGGAUGAUUAAAAUAUGGUGGGGCCAGAGCUAGGGAAGAAGCCUGGGCCAGGGAGGCAAGCCAGAGAAGGUGACAUGGGGACCGAGAAGGAGCUCCCCGUACAGGCGGGGGUGUGGGUCAGCUGGGCAGGCUCAGGAGGCUGCAGAUCCCGGAGGCCCCGGACUCGGUAGAAAGCUGGAGAUGCCGUUAAAAUAAAGGUGAGGUUCCCUCAGAGCCUUGGGCCGCCCUUCACUCUAAAGAUGGAGAAACUGGGGACCUGAGAAGUGGACCGAGGUCACCCAGCUGGCUGGAGUUGGGGCUGGGCCCGGGCACCCAGUCAGUAAUAAGCCGACGGGACUGUGAGGACUCUUCAGUGUCCCCUGCCUUCCAUUAUGGUGAGAAAGACAAGAGUUUAGUAGACAAAAAUGUGAGCGUAAUUUGAGCUGUUGCUAAGUGGUAUGAUUGUGAGUGACUGGGGGCUACUGAGAGAGGACGAUUAACAAGGGCCUCUCUGAGCAGGGGACAGAGUACUGGCCAGGCCGCAGGAAUGGCCUGUGCAAAGGCCCUGGGGCAGGAACAUACCUGGUGUGAGAGAGGAGCAGAGACGCAGCCUGAGGGGCUGGAGCAAAGGGUGUGGGGCGGGCCUGCAGCCUUUGGAGAGGAGUUUGGGCUGGAUCUCAGGCGAGUGCCUCCUGUGUGAUGGGUGUGGAGAGGGCAGCGACAGCUGUUGUGGGUGGUGGGAGAAUCCAUGCCCUGACCACAGUGGGCCAGAGAAGAAGCUCCAGGGUGAGGAGUGGGCUCAACAUCUCUGUCCCCCUGACUCCUUCGGCCACAGCAUUUUCUAGGAGCCCCACGACCAGGAGGGAGGGUUACAGCCAUCCCCCCGCAAGCAGGGCGCUGCUUCCGCUCGCUUUCCCAGUGACUCCUAAACCCUGUGGUGUGUCCUCUGGAUCUCCCUGGUUUGCUGCUGCCGGAGGAGCGUCAUCACCAUCCUCACUGUUGGAAGCAUCGUGGCACUUCUCUGAAGGAUGGAAAAAUCGAUGCGCAGAAGAGCGGGCGCAGGGAAGGUACAGACAGCGCUGGGAGGAGAGCAAGGGCAGGGGAGUCAGGCGCGUGGCGGGGGCGGGGUGGCCGGCUCCACCCCCCAGAGCAAACUCCGCGUGGGCGUGGGCAGCACAGGCCCGUGAAGUGGUUUUGGUGUUUCUGUAUUACGAUUACAAAAGCGCGUUCCUCGUAGACGAGGAAAAUCACCGCAUCCAGUUCCAGAGGCAACCUCGCCAUCAGCGAGCAUAGCAAAUCCUUCCAGCCUGUUUUCUCUGCGCGGUGAAUGCACUUUUUAGUUUUGCAAAAUGAGGACGAGCUCGACUGCUUUAUUCAUCUAACAGUCUGUCACCAACAUCCUCCUGUCCUUCCCUGGUGCGACAUCACUGUACCUGAGUUGGGGGAGGGGGGCGUGCACGGCACAGGGCUUGGGGUCAGACUCCUGGCCCCUUGGCUGUGUGACCUCGGGCAGGUGGCCCACACACUCUCUGGGCCGGCCCAUCCUCCGGUGCCUGCCUUACAGCCCCGUGGUGAGAAUGACCCCAGAACAGAAGCAGAGCGCGUUCAUCCCAGGCGGAGCCCGUCGUAAGCAUUCCUUCAACUGCGGGGACGCUAUUCUCUGUCUUUGUCAUUGUCCCGGGAAACCAGCAUUAUUUAGCCAAGCCUCGGUUAUUGAACAUGGAGGUUUUUUCCUUCGUUUCCCUGAAAGAAGGCUUCAAUGAACAUCCUUGAAAUCUCUGCCAAGUGCUCAACCAUUCAUUUUGAGUAAUUUCUGGGAGGAAAGUCAUGCGUGCUAGAGAAGGUGCUCACGUUUUCUACAUACUGCCUGACCGCCCUCUGGAAGUGUUCUGAUGACAUGAGUCUCCUCGGGGCUGCGUAACACGGCACCCCAAACUUGGUGGCUUCAAAUAACAGAAUUAUAUUCUUUCACAGUCCUGGAGGCUAGAAAUGCAAAACCAGGGUGCGGCAGGGCCGUGCUCCCCCGACGAUGCCAGGUUAGGAUCCUUCCUGCGUUUUCCAGCUUCCGUUGGCUGCCCACGUUCCUCGAUCCUUGACGCCAUCACUCCGUUCUCCGCCCCUGUGGUCACCGUGUCUCCUUCUCUGUCUGUCUUCCGCCCUGUGCGUCUCUUACAAGGAUACUAUCCUGUACUCCAGGAUGACCUCCUCAGCUCAAGAUUUUUAAUUUAAUUAUAUUGCCAGAGACCCUCUUUCCAAAUAAGGUCGGAUUCACUGGUUCUGAGAAUUAGGACAUGGCUCUGUCUUCUGAGGAUUCACCCUACAACACAUUCCUACGGAGAAAGGAGGGCGAUGUAGAAUCCCUUUUCCCUCGCCGCACAGGAUACUCUCAUCUUUUAAAAAAAAUGUUUAGCCAAGUUAUUCGGGUAAAAAGGACAUCUCGUUUUAAUGUGCA
Molecule: long non-coding RNA, 3364 nt
Organism: Pteropus alecto (black flying fox)
Lineage: Eukaryota; Metazoa; Chordata; Mammalia; Chiroptera; Pteropodidae
Exons: 2
Source: RefSeq, a predicted model, not a curated record